UACAGAGGUCUCAAGCGUUGUUCGGAUUCAUUGGGCGUAAAGCGUGCGUAGACGGUUACAUAAGUCGGGUGUGAAAGCCCCGGGCUCAACCUGGGAAUUGCAUUCGAGACUGCGUAGCUAGGGUGCGGAAGAGGGAAGCGGAAUUUCCGGUGUAGCGGUGAAAUGCGUAGAUAUCGGAAGGAACACCAGUGGCGAAAGCGGCUUCCUGGUCCAGCACCGACGUUCAGGCACGAAAGCGUGGGGAGCAAACAGG
Molecule: ribosomal RNA, 253 nt
Filed under: uncultured bacterium
Lineage: Bacteria
Description: partial 16S ribosomal RNA
Rfam family: Bacterial small subunit ribosomal RNA
Source: RNAcentral